This is a long non-coding RNA of Ostrea edulis (European flat oyster), 896 nucleotides long. RefSeq lists it as uncharacterized. Lineage: Eukaryota; Metazoa; Mollusca; Bivalvia; Ostreida; Ostreidae. The transcript is spliced from 2 exons. The record is from RefSeq and is a predicted model, not a curated record.
CUAACAGACAGGUGGGGAGUAGAGGAAAUAAGAAAAGGGAAGAGAACAAAGAGGAGAAGCGAGAAAAAAUUGUGAGGGUUGUUGACAACACAAGAUUCUACAUCCCGGAUUAAGAAAAUUCAUUUCGGACACAAGGUUUUCUUACACAAUGAUCCACAGACUCGUUCCGGAAGUUAAAAUCAAACUUACAUCAGAGUUGGAAAUUACAGCCCACCUGACCACCCAAGAGGGUUUAUUUCCCAGGUGGGCGAGGACGAAAUUUCAUACAAUAGCCUGGCGAUCGGGCCAAUUCUAACAGCCAGUGUACGACAACAAGAGUCACAAAUUAGCUGAAUUAGUGAAUGAUGAACACCACAAACUGAAAAUUUGUGGAAAAUGAUAAACAUCAGGAAUGAUUAAUUCCUACUGACAACCCUGGUUCAACAAUAGCAUUACCUGUGUGACUUCAUUAGGAUUUGUUAAUCACAUGUUCGAUUGCAAAUGUUCUUUGAAUAUGCGAUGAUUAUCAGGCUAUUUUUAGAUACCAGGACAUACCUGCUACAGUACACGCAUUUCAUAAUAUAUAACCUAAACAAAUAAAAUAUGAAUUCUGUAGUAAUGGAUUUGCCUUUGAUUCUCAGACAGUAAAUGACAUAUUCAUAUAUUUAAAGGGACUGGUUCAUGAUUCUUGAAAAAAUAUUUUACAUUUUUAAUACUGUCCCCACUUUUAAAAAGGUGGAAGAUGACAAUCAGUAACUGCACAUACAAAAUAUAUACAAGUAUAACAAAGUGGAUUAACACACACUUACCCUGUUAAUUCUUCAAUAAAUCCAUUGUCACAUUUAGGGCAUGUAAAAUCCUGUAAUGAUUCAAAAUAUUUGCAUUUAUAAUUAUAUAUAUAAUAAACACACAUAUAC